RNAcentral lists this ribosomal RNA (1357 nucleotides) under uncultured marine eukaryote. Its description in RNAcentral is "SSU rRNA". It matches the Rfam family "Eukaryotic small subunit ribosomal RNA", at positions 411 to 1779 of the family's 1831-position model. The record is from RNAcentral.
CACUUCUAAGAAAGGCAGCAGGCGCGCAAAUUACCCAAUCCUGACUCAGGGAGGUAGUGACAAGAAAUAACAAUAAACCGGCUUAUGCCGGUUUAAUUGGAAUGAGUACAAUUUAAACAUCUUAACGAGGAACAAUUGGAGGGCAAGUCUGGUGCCAGCAGCCGCGGUAAUUCCAGCUCCAAUAGCGUAUACUAAAGUUGUUGCAGUUAAAAAGCUCGUAGUUGGAUUUCUGUGGGGACGGAGCGGCCGGCCGCACAUCGCGGUUCGAGCUAGCGCUUUCCCUACAUCCUGCCGCGAACCGUGCUACCAUUAGUUUGGUGGCGCCGGGGAUCGGCUCGAUUACUUUGAGAAAAAUAGAGUGUUCAAAGCAGGCCACAUGCCUUGAAUAAGUUAGCAUGGAAUAAUAACUAAGGACUUCGGUUCUAUUUUGUUGGUGUUCGGGACUGAAGUAAUGAUUGAUAGGGACAGUUGGGGCGGUCUGUAUUCCAAAGCGAGAGGUGAAAUUCUUAGACCUUCGGAAGACAAACAGCUGCGAAAGCGUUCCGCAAGGAUGUUCCCUUUGAUCAAGAACGAAAGUUGGGGGAUCGAAGACGAUCAGAUACCGUCGUAGUCUCAACUAUAAACUAUACCAGCUAGGGAUCGGCCAACGUUAUUUCAUACCGACUUGGUCGGCACCUUAUGAGAAAUCAAAGCAUCUGGGUUCCGGGGGGAGUAUGGUCGCAAGGCUGAAACUUAAAGGAAUUGACGGAAGGGCACCACCAGCCGUGGAGCCUGUGGCUUAAUUUGACUCAACACGGGAAAACUUACCAGGUCCAGACAUAGUAAGGAUUGACAGAUUGAUAGCUCUUUCUUGAUUCUGUGGGUGGUGGUGCAUGGCCGUUCUUAGUUGGUGGAGUGAUUUGUCUGGUUAAUUCCGUUAACGAACGAGACCCCAGCCUGCUAAAUAGCGCGCGUGAGCUUUGCUCGCGGUCGAGCUUCUUAGAGGGACUAUGAUGCGCGAUAGCACAUGGAAGUUUGGGGCAAUAACAGGUCUGUGAUGCCCUUAGAUGUUCUGGGCCGCACACGGGCUACACUGGCGCCUGCAACGAGCAUAUCAGCUGGCCCGAGAGGGUCUUGGCUAAUCUUUUGAACCGGCGCCGUGCUUGGGAUUGAUCUUUGCAAUUGUUGGUCAUGCAACGAGGAAUGCCUUGUAAACGCGAGUCAUCAGCUCGCAUUGAAUACGUCCCUGCCCUUUGUACACACCGCCCGUCGCUCCUACCGAUGAAUGUUCCGAUGAAAUUUUCGGAGAGCACCUGUGAACUUGGCUCCGCCUUGCGAACGGGAGGCUCAAAGUCACUUAAAUCUGAACAUUUCGAGG